CUGCAGGACACAUUUGAACAUCGACAUUUCGAACGCACAUUGCGGUCCGUGGAGAAACAUCCAGGACCACUCCUGUCUGAGGGCCG
This 86-nucleotide ribosomal RNA is filed under the name Polyommatus ripartii. RNAcentral's name for it is "partial 5.8S ribosomal RNA". It matches the Rfam family "5.8S ribosomal RNA", at positions 72 to 154 of the family's 154-position model. Rfam says of the family: 5.8S ribosomal RNA (5.8S rRNA) is a component of the large subunit of the eukaryotic ribosome. It is transcribed by RNA polymerase I as part of the 45S precursor that also contains 18S and 28S rRNA. Lineage: Eukaryota; Metazoa; Arthropoda; Insecta; Lepidoptera; Lycaenidae. The record is from RNAcentral. RNAcentral also lists the same sequence under 1 other name.